This 492-nucleotide ribosomal RNA is filed under the name uncultured bacterium. RNAcentral describes it as "partial 16S ribosomal RNA". It matches the Rfam family "Bacterial small subunit ribosomal RNA", at positions 29 to 507 of the family's 1533-position model. The record is from RNAcentral.
AGUGAACGCUGGCGGUAAGCCUAACACAUGCAAGUCGAACGGCAGCACAGUAAGAGCUUGCUCUUACGGGUGGCGAGUGGCGGACGGGUGAGGAAUACAUCGGAAUCUACUUUUUCGUGGGGGAUAACGUAGGGAAACUUACGCUAAUACCGCAUACGACCUACGGGUGAAAGCAGGGGAUCUUCGGACCUUGCGCGAUUGAAUGAGCCGAUGUCGGAUUAGCUAGUUGGCGGGGUAAAGGCCCACCAAGGCGACGAUCCGUAGCUGGUCUGAGAGGAUGAUCAGCCACACUGGAACUGAGACACGGUCCAGACUCCUACGGGAGGCAGCAGUGGGGAAUAUUGGACAAUGGGCGCAAGCCUGAUCCAGCCAUACCGCGUGGGUGAAGAAGGCCUUCGGGUUGUAAAGCCCUUUUGUUGGGAAAGAAAAGCAGCAGGUUAAUACCCCGCUGUUCUGACGGUACCCAAAGAGUAAGCACCGGCUAACUUCGUG